This 251-nucleotide ribosomal RNA is filed under the name uncultured prokaryote. RNAcentral's name for it is "partial 16S rRNA". It matches the Rfam family "Bacterial small subunit ribosomal RNA", at positions 525 to 775 of the family's 1533-position model. The record is from RNAcentral.
ACGGAGGGUGCAAGCGUUGUUCGGAAUUAUUGGGCGUAAAGCGCGCGUAGGCGGUCUGUUAAGUCUGUUGUGAAAUCCUCGGGCUCAACCGGAGAACUGCAUUGGAUACUGGCAGACUUGAGUACGGAAGAGGGGAGCGGAAUGUCGGGUGUAGGGGUGAAAUCCUUAGAUAUUCGGGGGAACACCGGUGGCGAAGGCGGCUCACUAGACCGUUACUGACGCUGAGGCACGAAAGCGUGGGGAGCAAACAG